CGUGGUGGAACCUUUGGGGAUCUUGGGGAUUUUUUUUCCUUUGGGGAUCUUUUUUUUGGGUGGAACCUUUCUGUCCACGGUUUAGCCCCUCGCGUGUGGACCAGGCCAGCUCGCGCGGGUUUGUCUGUGCCCGUGGAGGAGGUAAGAUAGAAGAGCUCCACGGGUGCGGGGAGGAGGAGCUGGUGGGUUAGGCCAAGUGUGGCGGAGAGCGGCAGCGGUACAGGCAGCGGCACCACCGGCGGAGGAGGAGGGAGGGGAGAGCGAUGCGUGACCGGGUGCGGUUGAGCGUGGCAGGAGAGGCGGGGGACGCGAAGUAGAGAAGGGGCGGCGUCGGCACGCGGAGGGGUCGCAGGGAGGAGGCCGCCGCCGCCCGCCGCCGCGGGUGGUGGAAGACGAGGCGCGGCAGCGAGCCGGCGCAGCCGACCGGCGCGGCGCUCCCCUCGCGGACCGACGAGAGGAAGUCGCGGCUCCGGCUACGGAGGGGCAGCCUGCGCCUCCCCCGGCACCUGGGGAGCCUCCGCCAGAGGCGCGACGAGGGCGAGCAGCAGCAGCGGUGCCGGCAGCGGCGGGAGCCGUUGGGACGGUGGAAGAGGACCCACAGGUUCCUCGACAUGCGUGGACGUGAACCCCCGUAAUACGAGAGGUAACCGUAGUUUGAUAGGAAGCUGCUGAAGCGAGACCGGAAGUUCUCCGGACACGGCGACAGCUAACCCAUGUACCGGGUCAUGUACGACUUCGGCGACGACCCCCACGAUUAGCGUUCCCACAAGGCCUACGGUAGUCGGAAGAAGCGCCCAAAGUACGAAUGUACGACACAGAGCCCACGCGUCGAAAGCUCGAUACGAUCGAAGGACCCCUUUCCUCUACAACGCAACUCAUAAGACGAGUGUUGGAUGAGGUGGUAUAGAAGCCACUAACACUGUGGAUAAGAGUGACCAAACAACUAACCAAGUCACCAAGGCCAAUUACCUUAACGUUACCGCUUUAGCUAAGAGGUCCACCAAGAAGACGGACACUGUGAUCCAGAGGAAGACUUAUGGAUACGUUUUGGUCACCAAUUACAGUAUGUUGGUCACUACGGUAAACAACGAUACCACACGUGUAGUGAGACAUAACCCUCGGGAGAACGAUAUUUAUCCUGGUACGAGGAGAGUAGUGUCCCUAAGUACAAUGAAGAGGGGUAUCACUGAAAGGUGUAACGCCGGAAACAACACCCAAUGACCCAAAGGUUCAACGGAGUCAACUCCAUUAGUAAUUUACGGUACUAGUGACCGCCUCGAAUCCGUUCCGGUUUACCCGGUACCGGGCGGGUCGAGACGUCGAAAAAGAGUGUUAUAUCGAUCGGGUACCCAACAUCUUACGGUCGAUCAUCAUUAAGGAACGUCGGACCGGGUAAGUCGGGCGGGUCGAAAAAAACCGUUCGAGGCGGUGACCGGUACUAAUGUGAAAAUAAGUAAAGAUUACGAGAAGGACGUAUUGACUAAAAAACGGGUGCUAGAACGAUUUCGUGCUAAAUUAGAAAAAGACACUACGACGAAAGACAAUACAGACGCGGAGGAUAAAUAGUAGAUUCUCCUUUACUAUUAGACGGAGAUCCCUUUAGAACUGGCUAAAGUGAUUUAUUCAUUUAAGACAGUAAAUGAAAAACACAAUCAGUGAAACUCGAAGUCAGUUCAUCAAAGGAAAACUUUUGUAUACAACUUUAAGAACGAAUUUUACCGCUUUACACAAUCUGUAUAGUAUAAAGUAUAAUACAAAUAUACGGUCACUGUUCAGAACACCAGGGUAUAAACAUAUAAAAUGGACUUAAUAAGGAAAUUAGAUUGGAUAAUCUUUUCCACUAGUAAAAAGGACAAGUGUAAACAGUACCGGUAAUUAAAGGUUUUGACCUUGAAUUAAGUUACACCAAUUCUAACACUAUAUACCGGACAAUAAACGUCGUAAACCAUGGAAGUAGGACACAGACCUUUCCAGUUUAUCAUAGUGUAGGAGUAAUGACCGAAGACAAUGUAAUGCAAAACUCAGUCGUUAGAUAAAAACCGUAUUUUGAUAUGAAGACUUCAAGGAACUACGACAAACCGAUUGAAAGAAAGACGGGAAUACACAUCCGUUCUUCUUGGUCAAACAUCCUGAUAUAGUCACACAUGACCUUACGUCUCGAGGUGGGAUCGACCCGAAGAACGAUGGGUCAAAGAACCUUAAUCAGUCCGUCAAGGACGUCGUACAAGACAACAACAGUACCGUUAUAAACCAAACUGAGAACGUAGCAUGACCCCUUCACCAUACGCUUAUUCCCUGGAAGGAAACUCUAAGAAAGGUGUUCGAAGGCGACUACGCUCUAGUACUCUCCGACCUAAAUCGUAACUUUAAGAAAGUUCCCGAGGGCCAAAGUCUUUGAGUCGACGGGAAACCCCUACGUCAAUGUCCCCACAGGACGCCGAGUAGGUCGUUAGUCCGUACGGUAUCAUCGAUGUUUUCCGUCUUGAUGUUUGGCGUCUAACACGUUCUACUCGUCGCCGACUCCUAUUGGAGCGGUGUCUUUGGUGAACGUACCGACGUAUGCUACCUUCCUAUUACUCUACGAUCGGUAAAUGGUGAAUAGUAUGGUACACGUCAUCCGAGGUAAUCACCACGAGGGAACCGGUAAAAAAAACAUCUAUGAUCUAUCAUCUGUGCAACUGCCAAGGAUACAUGUGGUGAUUCGUAUACGUACACGUUACGGUUAUAGUAGCUGCGUAAGAAGGGUCCUACUUGGGGUACCUACAGACAUGGGAAGACUUCACGAACAAAGAACGAGAUUAUUGGGUAGUUUUAGUGUAAGAUACAGCGUCUACACGAGUAACGAAACGUUUCACUUGAAGCUUAAGUCGCCAAGAUCAACCUGUUUU
This 2888-nucleotide ribosomal RNA is filed under the name Triticum aestivum (bread wheat). RNAcentral's name for it is "partial small subunit ribosomal RNA". The record is from RNAcentral. Lineage: Eukaryota; Viridiplantae; Streptophyta; Magnoliopsida; Poales; Poaceae.